This 301-nucleotide ribosomal RNA is filed under the name uncultured bacterium. RNAcentral describes it as "partial 16S ribosomal RNA". It matches the Rfam family "Bacterial small subunit ribosomal RNA", at positions 509 to 810 of the family's 1533-position model. The record is from RNAcentral.
CAGCCGCCGCGGGAAUACGUAGGUCCCGAGCGUUGUCCGGAUUUAUUGGGCGUAAAGCGAGCGCAGGCGGUUAGAUAAGUUUGAAGUUAAAGGCUGUGGCUUAACCAUAGUACGCUUUGGAAACUGUUUAACUUGAGUGCAAGAGGGGGGAGUGGAAUUCCAUGUGUAGCGGUGAAAUGCGUAGAUAUAUGGAGGAACACCGGUGGCGAAAGCGGCUCCCUGGCUUGUAACUGACGCUGAGGCUCGAAAGCGUGGGGAGCAAACAGGAUUAGAUACCCGGGUAGUCCCUGUCUCUUAUAAA